This 854-nucleotide unclassified non-coding RNA is filed under the name Acanthaster planci (crown-of-thorns starfish). Its description in RNAcentral is "bcl-2-like protein 1, transcript variant X4". The record is from RNAcentral. Lineage: Eukaryota; Metazoa; Echinodermata; Asteroidea; Valvatida; Acanthasteridae.
AUGUGUUGUAUACUGUGGAAGUGCAUUUCACUGGGACUGGAUAGCAGACAAGAAUGUUGAGCUUUUGUGCAACAAGUCUACCAGUAACUUGCAUGCAUGUACAAGUUAGGCCCAGUACAUAAGAUGAGCGACAGUGUCACCAAGCAGUACAUAGAGGAUUACUGCAUCAACAGAAUACGACGUGGCGAUAUCGAUCUGGAGAGCUACCGACAUGUGAGCCGGGAGCCCUUCAACAUGGUGGCCAGAAGAAUGCGGGAAAUAGGUGAAGAAAUAGAAAGCAAGAAUCCCGAAUUCUUUGCAGGAUGCUGCGAGCAGCUUCAAAUCAGCGAAACAACAGCAUAUGCAAAGUUCAAGGAUCUCGCAGAUGAACUCUUUAAGGACCAAGAAAAUGGGCAGAGGGGGACAUGUAUGUCCUGGGGCAGAAUAGCAGCCUUUAUCACAUUCAGUGGCCGACUGGCCUUGCACUGUGCAUCCAAUAACAUGGAGACGUUAGUCCCUAGUGUCAUCGGUUGGACGUCCAGAUAUAUUGACACCAAGUUGGUUGCGUGGAUAAACGACCACCAAGGCUGGGAUGGAUUUGCCAAAUUCUUUGACGACGACAAAGCAAGGGAGAAGGCGUUAAGCGACACGGUCACCGAUAUUGUGACGUCCGUGUGCCAAUUUGCAGUGGUUGGUGCCGGACUGGCCGCACUCGCUUGCUUGCUGAAGAGAUAGGGCACGAGGCCAGGCCCCCUGGCGUGUAGGGAGGGGGGCCAAAGGUCAAGGAACGGCUUUCUGGAGUUCUUUGACAAGAAUCGAGUAAGGGCAAUGGAAGACGAACUCUUGAGCAAUGUCAUCGGCACAGCGUUAACGUA